CCCUGCUUCAACGGGCCUCAUUGACUAAGAAACAAUGCCACUUUGCUGAGUAUUCAAUCUGUCACAUUGUAGGUGACAGUCUCAAACAUGCUGGGAGAUGCUGCUUAGUCGAAUUGUACUCACUGAAAUCUUGGCACACAUCUCCUGAGUCAUCUUUGAAAGCAGAAGUACUUUGGAAGGAAAAACAGACAUUGAAGGAAGAUCUGAUGCACUUUGCAUUUUCACCAUGAAGAUUAAAGAGUGAUGCAGAAAAUACCCCAAUGUAUAGGUGAAGACUGAAUAAUGGAUCUUACAGCAAGAUUCUAUGGAAUCUCAUGAUGAAAACCACUGACUGUAUUUUCCUCUCCAAGGACAUAAAAUGAUGGGUUGAAGAGGGAAAUGUGUAGAAGAUUUAGAAGUCCUUUCACAUUUUUCAAAGAUGAUAAUUCUUAGAACUAGAUGUAAAUACCAAUUUGUCUCCACUCGUGAACACAAUAGAAGUCCAUACUCUUAAAAUCAGACAUCCAAAUACAUAAUUAAGGAUG
Molecule: long non-coding RNA, 524 nt
Filed under: Cricetulus griseus (Chinese hamster)
Lineage: Eukaryota; Metazoa; Chordata; Mammalia; Rodentia; Cricetidae
Description: lncRNA (ENSCGRG00000025406.1)
Source: RNAcentral